CCAAGGCUCUCACGCACGGCUGCCCUCAAAUCCUCAGCAGAGAGAAGACAAAGGCUGUGGGAGCAAAGUGACUCCACAUAGUUCUCAAAGCACUCCCUUCUUGGUCCUGUGAAGCUGCCUGCAGGAUGUUCUUCGCUCCUUUGAACACGCUGAGAAUACAGAGACAGGAUCUCCUGGUACUUGUAAAUCCACCGCAUCUUCCUGGGCGCUGAUGCAUCUGAGCCAGGGAUACAUUCAUUAGUAAACAACAUUUGGAAGAACAGGAAAAUAUUCUGCUGACAGAAUUUGAUCACUUGGUCAAAGAAAGCAUAGAAAAAGAAAACAACACAAAUGUUUCAGCAGUGUCUAAAAAUUGUUCACAGGGCCCUAAUAAAUAAGAAUUUAUUUCUUGAUGUAAUGUCAUAAAGUCACUAUGCUGCAUAGUAUUUCAGUAAUAAUUUUCUGGAAAAAAAAAUUGACCUGAAGUCUCUGUCAGCAAAACUGUUUCACAGUGGCAAAUGCAUAUGUCUGAGUCAGAUAGGUCCCAGCUUCCAAAUUUACGAAAAGUGUUUACAGGAAGGACUUAUUAAAUUAGAUUAUCCAGAAGAGGAAGGGGGGCUUUGAAAUUUUUAAAUUCUCAUUAUUUUUCUCAUUUUCAAAGCACUGUGAAAAAAAAUCAUGAAAAUUAAGAAAUUCAAAGACAUAAGGGCAAAACUAAAACGGCAAUUCCCUUUCUACCUGGAGGAGAGCUACAGUAACACGAAUGCUGUACAGUUCUCACAGAAAAGGGGCCGAGUCGUAUGCACUGUCUUGAAAACCGCUCCUCGGUUAGAAAUGAAAUCUUACUUUGUUUCCAAGUCAACCACAGCCAGCUAUCUUACCGUGUCUAUGAUUGCAAGGUGAGGACCAUGGGCCAGGUGAGUGACAGCCAUCUCCCAAAGCAUAAGCCAUGUGCAACUCUUUAUUUUAAGUAAUGUCACUAUGAGUUAGCUUUUAUCUACUUAGUUAGUUAGUUAGUUAGUUAGUUAGUUAGUCAGUUUACCUUUUCCUUGAGAUCUAUGUUUGACUCACGACCUGCCGGCAAAGGGGAAAGGUUAGGGGAGGUCUGGUGUAACAAGUUGGUUCCCUCCUGGUUCUCCUCCUUUCUAUCUUUUGCAGAUCAAGCACUGAGAGGUCCUCAGCCCCUACCACAGUAGUGAAUGCACCUCUCCUGGUUGGCCUUACUACAUGUGGGAAGGGGGUUCUAGAGACCCACUGA
This is a long non-coding RNA of Mus pahari (shrew mouse), 1237 nucleotides long. RefSeq lists it as uncharacterized. The transcript is spliced from 3 exons. Lineage: Eukaryota; Metazoa; Chordata; Mammalia; Rodentia; Muridae. The record is from RefSeq and is a predicted model, not a curated record.